AUUCCCCUAGUAGCGGCGAGCGAAGCGGGAAAAGCUCAAAUUUGUAAUCUGGCGUCUUCGACGUCCGAGUUGUAAUCUCGAGAAGUGUUUUCCGUGAUAGACCGCAUACAAGUCUCUUGGAACAGAGCGUCAUAGUGGUGAGAACCCAGUACACGAUGCGGAUGCCUAUUACUUUGUGAUACACUUUCGAAGAGUCGAGUUGUUUGGGAAUGCAGCUCAAAUUGGGUGGUAAAUUCCAUCUAAAGCUAAAUAUUGGCGAGAGACCGAUAGCGAACAAGUACCGUGAGGGAAAGAUGAAAAGCACUUUGGAAAGAGAGUUAACAGUACGUGAAAUUGUUGGAAGGGAAACACAUGCAGUGAUACUUGCUAUUCGGGGCAACUCGAUUGGCAGGCCCGCAUCAGUUUUUCGGGGCGGAAAAUCGUAGAGAGAAGGUAGCAGUUUCGGCUGUGUUAUAGCUCUUUACUGGAUUCGCCCUGGGGGACUGAGGAACGCAGCGUGCUUUUAGCAUGAGC
This 513-nucleotide ribosomal RNA is filed under the name Sporobolomyces pararoseus. Its description in RNAcentral is "LSU rRNA". It matches the Rfam family "Eukaryotic large subunit ribosomal RNA", at positions 74 to 618 of the family's 3401-position model. The record is from RNAcentral. Lineage: Eukaryota; Fungi; Basidiomycota; Microbotryomycetes; Sporidiobolales; Sporidiobolaceae.